AGCGUGAAGCCUUCCCCGAGAAUAGAUAUCCCUGAAGACGCCUUGGAGACUACAAGGUUGAUAGGCAGCAAGUGUAAGAGCCGUAAGGCUUUCAGCUUAGCUGUACUAAUCCGUCGUCAGGCUUGACCAU
This 130-nucleotide ribosomal RNA is filed under the name Candidatus Omnitrophota bacterium. RNAcentral describes it as "partial 23S ribosomal RNA". It matches the Rfam family "Bacterial large subunit ribosomal RNA", at positions 2784 to 2925 of the family's 2925-position model. Lineage: Bacteria; Pseudomonadati; Candidatus Omnitrophota. The record is from RNAcentral.